GGGAGGCAGCAGUGGGGAAUAUUGCACAAUGGGCGCAAGCCUGAUGCAGCGACGCCGCGUGGGGGAUGACGGCCUUCGGGUUGUAAACCUCUUUCAGCAGGGACGAAGCGCAAGUGACGGUACCUGCAGAAGAAGCGCCGGCUAACUACGUGCCAGCAGCCGCGGUAAUACGUAGGGCGCAAGCGUUGUCCGGAAUUAUUGGGCGUAAAGAGCUCGUAGGCGGUUUGUCGCGUCUGCUGUGAAAGCCCGGGGCUUAACCCCGGGUGUGCAGUGGGUACGGGCAGACUAGAGUGCAGUAGGGGAGACUGGAAUUCCUGGUGUAGCGGUGGAAUGCGCAGAUAUCAGGAGGAACACCGAUGGCGAAGGCAGGUCUCUGGGCUGUUACUGACGCUGAGGAGCGAAAGCAUGGGGAGCGAACAGGAUUAGAUACCCUGGUAGUCCAUGCCGUAAACGUUGGGCACUAGGUGUGGGGACCAUUCCACGGUUUCCGCGCCGCAGCUAACGCAUUAAGUGCCCCGCCUGGGGAGUACGGCCGCAAGGCUAAAACUCAAAGGAAUUGACGGGGGCCCGCACAAGCGGCGGAGCAUGCGGAUUAAUUCGAUGCAACGCGAAGAACCUUACCAAGGCUUGACAUGCUCCCGAUCGCCGUAGAGAUACGGUUUCCCCUUUGGGGCGGGUUCACAGGUGGUGCAUGGUUGUCGUCAGCUCGUGUCGUGAGAUGUUGGGUUAAGUCCCGCAACGAGCGCAACCCUCGUUCCAUGUUGCCAGCACGUAAUGGUGGGGACUCAUGGGAGACUGCCGGGGUCAAAUCGGAGGAAGGUGGGGAUGACGUCAAGUCAUCAUGCCCCUUACGUCUAGGGCUACACACGUGCUACAUUGGCCGGUACAGAGGGCUGCAAACCCGUGAGGGGGAGCGAAUCCCAAAAAGCCGGUCCCGGUUCGGAUUGAAGGCUGAAACUCGCCUUCAUGAAGGCGGAGUUGCUAGUAAUCGCGGAUCAGCAAUGCCGCGGUGAAUACGUUCUCGGGCCUUGUACACACCGCCAA
Molecule: ribosomal RNA, 1044 nt
Filed under: uncultured Micrococcus sp.
Lineage: Bacteria; Bacillati; Actinomycetota; Actinomycetes; Micrococcales; Micrococcaceae
Description: bacterial SSU rRNA
Rfam family: Bacterial small subunit ribosomal RNA
Source: RNAcentral